This 65-nucleotide transfer RNA is filed under the name Chrysocoris stollii. RNAcentral's name for it is "tRNA-Cys". It matches the Rfam family "tRNA". From Rfam's summary of the family: Transfer RNA (tRNA) molecules are approximately 80 nucleotides in length. Their secondary structure includes four short double-helical elements and three loops (D, anti-codon, and T loops). Further hydrogen bonds mediate the characteristic L-shaped molecular structure. tRNAs have two regions of fundamental functional importance: the anti-codon, which is responsible for specific mRNA codon recognition, and the 3' end, to which the tRNAs corresponding amino acid is attached (by aminoacyl-tRNA synthetases). tRNAs cope with the degeneracy of the genetic code in two manners: having more than one tRNA (with a specific anti-codon) for a particular amino acid; and 'wobble' base-pairing, i.e. permitting non-standard base-pairing at the 3rd anti-codon position. Lineage: Eukaryota; Metazoa; Arthropoda; Insecta; Hemiptera; Scutelleridae. The record is from RNAcentral.
GGCUUUAUAGUCAAAUUAUGAUAUUAGACUGCAAUUCUAAAGUUAGGAUUAAGUCCUUAAAGCUU